AAUAAAUGUAGUUUUACACUAUUCACGUUCAAUGUUUGAACGUUCGUUUUAUUUAAAAAAUUUUUAUGAUUAGUAUUUUUAUUGCUAUUAGAUGAUAAAACAUGAAUAGUAUUUUAUGUGUGACUAAAUAUUUUCAAAUUUUUCAAAUAAGACGGACGGUCAAACGUUGGGCACGGAUAUUCACGACUGCACUUAUU
Molecule: non-coding RNA, 197 nt
Organism: Oryza barthii
Lineage: Eukaryota; Viridiplantae; Streptophyta; Magnoliopsida; Poales; Poaceae
Source: Rfam